CCAAAUCGACGAAAAAAUCCCCCACGCCGCCAUCGCUCCCCAGCCACCGUCGUCGAUCCACCACCGUCGCCGGGCCCGAGAUCUGCUGCCGCCACUCGCAGGUCGACGCCCUCCAGCACUGUUUCUCCUGGAGCCACGCCGACCGCGCCACGGGCAAGCGCGCCACCACCGUCCUCGCCGAGCUCGCGAAGAACGAGGAGGUUGUGAACGUAAUCGUGGAGGGCGGCGCCGUGCCGGUGCUCGUGUGCCACCUGAAGGUGCCCCCUACGGAGGCGGCGGCGGGCGAGGAGCACUAGCCCCGCCCGUUCGAGCACGAGGUCGAGAAGGGCGCUGCCUUCGCUCUCGGGCUUCUGGCCGUAAAGAUGACGUACUAUGUCGUCUACCACGGCAGGGUUCCUGGAGUCUACGAGGACUGGGAAGACUGUAGGAGGCAGGUCCACCGUUUCAGCGGCAACAGCUACAAGGGGUACACCACUUUGGAGGAGGCGGAAACUCGAUACGCCAACUUUCGAGCGGGACAGAGGAGGGAGAUGUGGAGGACCCCUUUCAUCGUGAUGAUGCUUGCCGCCACCGUCUCUCUAGUUUAUUAUGUCAUUGUUGUUUAGCUAGGUCAUCGACACUGGAUUUAUAUGUAUUGUGCUACUUCGAGUCGUGAUGUUAUGGUCAACUAUCUACUAUCUAAACUUGUCUUAUUA
This is a long non-coding RNA of Lolium perenne, 695 nucleotides long. RefSeq lists it as uncharacterized. The record is from RefSeq and is a predicted model, not a curated record. Lineage: Eukaryota; Viridiplantae; Streptophyta; Magnoliopsida; Poales; Poaceae.